UGUGGAUCUGACAUGCCUUACUGCUUGGCCC
RNAcentral lists this non-coding RNA (31 nucleotides) under Mus musculus (house mouse). The record is from RNAcentral. Lineage: Eukaryota; Metazoa; Chordata; Mammalia; Rodentia; Muridae.